This 558-nucleotide ribosomal RNA is filed under the name uncultured bacterium. RNAcentral describes it as "bacterial SSU rRNA". It matches the Rfam family "Bacterial small subunit ribosomal RNA", at positions 12 to 529 of the family's 1533-position model. The record is from RNAcentral.
UUUGAUCCUGGCUCAGAACGAACGCUUGCGGCGUGGAUUAGGCAUGCAAGUCGAGCGAGAUUAUUUAGACGGAAGCUUCGGUGGAAGNCUAAAUAUGAAAGCGGCGAACUGGUGAGGACAACUUGAGUAAUCUGCCCUAAAGUUCAGNAUAGCCUCGGGAAACUGGGAUUAAUGCUGAAUGUGGUCGCCCCACUCAUGUGGGGUUGUCUAAAGGCUGGGAAUCCUUCGGGAUCCAGUCGCUUUAGGAUGGGCUCAAGGCCUAUCAGCUUGUUGGUAAGGUAAUGGCUUACCAAGGCUAAGACGGGUAGCUGGUCUGAGAGGAUGGUCAGCCACACUGGGACUGAGAACUGCCCAGACUCCUACGGGAGGCUGCAGUCGAGAAUCAUUCACAAUGCGCGAAAGCGCGAUGAUGCGACGCCGCGUGGAGGAUGAAGGCUUUCGGGUCGUAAACUCCUGUCAGAAGGGAAUAAAUGCAUGAUAGUUAAUAGCUUUCAUGUUUGAAGGUACCUUCAGAGGAAGCCACGGCUAACUUCGUGCCAGCAGCCGCGGUAAUAAGGG